CCCGACUACGCCGGCCUCUGCUGACUGGACGCCGAAGUCUUUAUCAUCGUCGCAAAAUUUCAUUUAUUAAAAGGUUGGUUUUCUCUUCACCCUAUAAGAAGUCAAGUAUGCCCAGUUCUUGCAUUGCAAGCUCUUACGAUUAAGAAAAACUGUACAGAGGAGGAUCAUGAGACAAAUGAGCACACGCGGAGCCCAAACACUGAGAAACAGGAAACAGAAGCGGUCGAUGGGGGGAGCUUUCCUCUGCCCUCGACACAGCCACCACUGGUGCCGGGAUCAAAAUGAUGUCACUUGCUUUGUCCUCGACAGACAUUUGCAAACAAAACUUUUUAGCAGACACUUAAGGUCAUUUGGGAGGUCAGAGAACUGUACUUAAAGAUGUUUGCUGUACCGUCAACACUUCCUUCUGGCUCGAUUCGACCUUCUCUGUGCCCUGUAUGUAGAAGCCGUAAACUUCUUGAUAGUCUACUAGUAUUAUGCCUCAAAAAAAAAAAAAGCAGGAAAAUUGAGUACUUGGUGUGCCCCAAAUGACUCUCUUUGGCUUUGGGCACCGGAGAAGUGGGAGUUUUUUAGCUGUUCUGUAAUACUCGUGAUAUGAAGCACAUUAAACAUGAGUCAGAGUGAUAAGAAUCUUCAAAGGUCUUUCCAGAAACACGUUCUGAGACGUCUUAACGAUGAUAAAGAAGCCACAGUAAGAUGCCCAGGGUCCUGCUCCAUUUUCAGAGUCCGUAACUUUGAAGAAAGAAUAACAUAUUACUUGGAAGGAAUUUAUAAUAACCAUGAGUAUUUAUAGUUGAAUCACGUUUAGGAACAUGCCAUGCCUUUCAAGCUACUCCAUGAAAAGAGUUCAGUGACUUCAUAAGUUUGGGAAACCAGCCAUCAAUACUUUCUUUUCCUUACGGAGCAUCAUUGACAUCUGAAGGGUUCUGAGAACUUCUGCAGUAAAGAACUCCUGGAAGACUUAAGGCUAAACAAACAAACAAAAAAAUGUCUAAUGGCCUGUAGGGAGAAGGUGAAAGCUGGAGUGUCUGUUCAAUAAGUGCUGUGGAGUGCUGAACUCAAGAAACUAUCCUGAACUCGUUCACGCUGAGCGAUUCAGUCGUCUGGCUUAAUUGUCCAUUCGUCAGGCUCUGCAGAAUUGCUGGAGUGACACUGCUGUUCUGUGUCAAAAGCAGGUGAGUGAGAGGAAGAAGAAACCAGUUAGAGGGAAAACGAGGGCUCAUGUGAAAUCAGCCUAAGAAUUGGAGCGGCACAGAGAAGCCGUAGAAGGAUUAAAGAUGACCUUCUUUGAGGACACGCUCCUCUCCUCGACUUCUCUCACACUACCCCAGCUGAUGCAGAAGCAAGUCACAAGACCGAGGUCAUGUGAGUGCUGGGAUGUAGGGCUGCUGGCUCAGCGCUCCUAUGGAAGCCGCACUGAAGCCCUACACGUGGGCUGUCCUGCAACUGGGCUGCGAUGAAGGGUGGCU
Long non-coding RNA from Orcinus orca (killer whale), 1469 nucleotides. RefSeq lists it as uncharacterized. Lineage: Eukaryota; Metazoa; Chordata; Mammalia; Artiodactyla; Delphinidae. The record is from RefSeq and is a predicted model, not a curated record. The transcript is spliced from 3 exons.